UACGUAGGGUGCGAGCGUUGUCCGGAAUUAUUGGGCGUAAAGGGCUCGUAGGCGGUUUUGUCGCGUCGGGAGUGAAAUCCACUGGCUUAACUGGUGGCUUGCUUUCGAUACGGGCAGACUGGAGGUAUGCAGGGGGAGAACGGAAUUCCUGGUGUAGCGGUGAAAUGCGCAGAUAUCAGGAAGAACACCCGUGGCUAAGGCGGCUC
Molecule: ribosomal RNA, 206 nt
Filed under: uncultured bacterium
Lineage: Bacteria
Description: partial 16S ribosomal RNA
Rfam family: Bacterial small subunit ribosomal RNA
Source: RNAcentral